CACUAUCCUAUUACAACAUACAUUCAUGCAUAACUGUCCUCUGUACUCUUGCUGACUUGACUUCUCCUAGCUAUCUUAGAACCUGCAAAACUGGGGCAAGGGAGUGGGAUGAGCUCUAGAGCCCAGUGAGGAGGAACAAUAAAAACAGUUCAUUCAUUACAUGCUCUCAUGAAAUGCAUCACAUCACAAACAUAUCAUCUCAAGGAUGAACUUGUCACCAUAGCCCUCUACAUACAUAAUAGUAUGUCCAACUGUGCCAGGGGCGAUUAGGCCUCACCUGGACUACUCUGAAGUAACUCAUAUCAUAACAUGUCCAACUGUGCCAGGGGCGAUUAGGCCUCACCUGGACUGCUCUGAGCUCUGAUCUGACAGCCCAGCUGUCUCACUCAUAGUACCAGGAGCGACCUGGACUAACCAGGGGCGACCUGGUAUGGCUAUCUCAUGC
Molecule: long non-coding RNA, 445 nt
Filed under: Manihot esculenta (cassava)
Lineage: Eukaryota; Viridiplantae; Streptophyta; Magnoliopsida; Malpighiales; Euphorbiaceae
Description: long non-coding RNA (MESC_LNC004814)
Source: RNAcentral